This is a long non-coding RNA of Pipra filicauda (Wire-tailed manakin), 759 nucleotides long. RefSeq lists it as uncharacterized. The record is from RefSeq and is a predicted model, not a curated record. Lineage: Eukaryota; Metazoa; Chordata; Aves; Passeriformes; Pipridae. The transcript has 3 exons.
CCUGCAGCUGAAGGAAGCUGUGCUGGUGGGCACAUGUGGGCAAGGCUGAAAGGGAUGGAUCCUGGAGACAGACCCACUGGAGCCAAUCCUUCCCCCAGGCUUCCUGCUGAACCUGGUGUUGGCAGAGACCUGGAGACCUGGGGUGUGGUGCAGGAUCACUGCUGUCCCCAUGCAGUCUGGCAGAGAGGCUGCACUGCUCUGGCUUGAUUUCUGAUGUUGAGGUGACCAGGAGGAUGAAGCUCAGUUUAAUGCAGGACCAGGAGGAGGGAAGUUCUCUGCUUCCUAACUGGAGGAUCUCAGUUCCCAAGUGCCUUGGACUGCUCCCACGUAUUCCUUGGGAAUUCAAUGACCUUGAGUUUGCUGUGCUUGAAACUUGCCUUAGUGCUUGGCUUCCUUUCUGGAAUACUUAGGAGAGGAGAGCUGUGCAGAAGGCACUGCAAGACUCUUGAGUGAGACCGGCACUGCUUCACUUAGGAUCAUAUAAGAAGAGGCAUUUGUGCUGUACAAAAUAAACUUCUUGCUUCAGAGCAUGCCUGGAGUUAUUGCACCCAGAGGUCACAGCUGGAUCUGCCUCUGCUUCCCUAGUAAUCUGCCAUGGAAAUUUUGAGUACUGGCUGCUCGGGAUGAUUUUCUUGCCCCUCUUUAUGAAACAAAGCAAAUGUGAACCAGCAGCACAUGAUGGAUGUUGUGUGAGAAGUAACUUGUCUGAGGAAUCACAUCAUUUAAUCGUGCUCCAGAGUUCAGGGCUUCACUUGCCAG